AGAGUUUGAUCCUGGCUCAGGACGAACGCUGGCGGCGCGCUUAACACAUGCAAGUCGAGCGAAAGCCAUUCCUUCGGGAAUGGGGAUAGCGGCGAACGGGUGAGUAACACGUGGGUAAUCCACCCUCGGCACCGGAAUAGCCCGGGGAAACUCGGAUUAAUGCCGGAUAGCCUCACGGGUUUUAUGGCCUGUGAGAAAAGGUAGCUUAGGCCUCUGGCCGAGGACGAGCCUGCGGCGGAUUAGCUAGUUGGCGGGGUAAUGGCCCACCAAGGCGACGAUCCGUAGCUGGUCUGAGAGGACGAUCAGCCACACUGGGACUGAGACACGGCCCAGACUCCUACGGGAGGCAGCAGUGGGGAAUCUUGCGCAAUGGGCGAAAGCCUGACGCAGCGACGCCGCGUGUGGGACGAAGGCCUUCGGGUUGUAAACCACUUUCAGGGGGGACGAAGCCACUCGGGUGAAUAGCCCAGAGGGUGACGGUACCUUCAGAAGAAGCCCCGGCUAACUACGUGCCAGCAGCCGCGGUAAUACGUAGGGGGCAAGCGUUGUCCGGAUUCAUUGGGCGUAAAGCGCGUGUAGGCGGUUAUACAGGUCCGCUGUGAAAACUCGAGGCUCAACCUCGAGACGUCGGCGGAAACCGUAUGGCUAGAGUCCGGAAGAGGAGAGUGGAAUUCCUGGUGUAGCGGUGAAAUGCGCAGAUAUCAGGAAGAACACCCGUGGCGAAGGCGGCUCUCUGGUACGGUACUGACGCUGAGACGCGAAAGCGUGGGGAGCGAACAGGAUUAGAUACCCUGGUAGUCCACGCCGUAAACGAUGGGUGCUAGGUGUGGGGGGUGUCGACUCCCUCCGUGCCGAAGCUAACGCAUUAAGCACCCCGCC
Molecule: ribosomal RNA, 879 nt
Filed under: uncultured bacterium
Lineage: Bacteria
Description: bacterial SSU rRNA
Rfam family: Bacterial small subunit ribosomal RNA
Source: RNAcentral